RNAcentral lists this ribosomal RNA (424 nucleotides) under uncultured bacterium. RNAcentral describes it as "partial 16S ribosomal RNA". It matches the Rfam family "Bacterial small subunit ribosomal RNA", at positions 354 to 796 of the family's 1533-position model. The record is from RNAcentral.
GUGGGGAAUAUUGCACAAUGGGCGCAAGCCUGAUGCAGCGACGCCGCGUGAGGGAAGACGGUCUUCGGAUUGUAAACCUCUGUCAUCGGGGACGAUAAUGACGGUACCCGAGAAGGAAGCUCCGGCUAACUACGUGCCAGCAGCCGCGGUAAUACGUAGGGAGCAAGCGUUGUCCGGAAUUACUGGGUGUAAAGGGAGUGUAGGCGGGAGCGCAAGUUGAAUGUUAAAUCCACCGGCUUAACUGGUUGCCGCGUUCAAAACUGCGUUUCUUGAGUGAAGUAGAGGUUGGCGGAAUUCCUAGUGUAGCGGUGAAAUGCGUAGAUAUUAGGAGGAACACCAGUGGCGAAGGCGGCCAACUGGGCUUUUACUGACGCUGAGGCUCGAAAGCGUGGGGAGCAAACAGGAGUAGAAACCCGGGUAGUCC